GGUUAAGCGACUAAGCGUACACGGUGGAUGCCCUGGCAGUCAGAGGCGAUGAAGGACGUGCUAAUCUGCGAUAAGCGUCGGUGAGGUGAUAUGAACCGUUAUAACCGGCGAUUUCCGAAUGGGGAAACCCAGUGUGUUUCGACACACUAUCAUUAACUGAAUCCAUAGGUUAAUGAGGCGAACCGGGGGAACUGAAACAUCUAAGUACCCCGAGGAAAAGAAAUCAACCGAGAUUCCCCCAGUAGCGGCGAGCGAACGGGGAGGAGCCCAGAGCCUGAAUCAGUGUGUGUGUUAGUGGAAGCGUCUGGAAAGGCGCGCGAUACAGGGUGACAGCCCCGUACACAAAAAUGCACAUAUUGUGAGCUCGAUGAGUAGGGCGGGACACGUGGUAUCCUGUCUGAAUAUGGGGGGACCAUCCUCCAAGGCUAAAUACUCCUGACUGACCGAUAGUGAACCAGUACCGUGAGGGAAAGGCGAAAAGAACCCCGGCGAGGGGAGUGAAAAAGAACCUGAAACCGUGUACGUACAAGCAGUGGGAGCCUCUUAAUGGGGUGACUGCGUACCUUUUGUAUAAUGGGUCAGCGACUUAUAUUCUGUAGCAAGGUUAACCGAAUAGGGGAGCCGAAGGGAAACCGAGUCUUAACUGGGCGUUAAGUUGCAGGGUAUAGACCCGAAACCCGGUGAUCUAGCCAUGGGCAGGUUGAAGGUUGGGUAACACUAACUGGAGGACCGAACCGACUAAUGUUGAAAAAUUAGCGGAUGACUUGUGGCUGGGGGUGAAAGGCCAAUCAAACCGGGAGAUAGCUGGUUCUCCCCGAAAGCUAUUUAGGUAGCGCCUCGUGAAUUCAUCUCCGGGGGUAGAGCACUGUUUCGGCAAGGGGGUCAUCCCGACUUACCAACCCGAUGCAAACUGCGAAUACCGGAGAAUGUUAUCACGGGAGACACACGGCGGGUGCUAACGUCCGUCGUGAAGAGGGAAACAACCCAGACCGCCAGCUAAGGUCCCAAAGUCAUGGUUAAGUGGGAAACGAUGUGGGAAGGCCCAGACAGCCAGGAUGUUGGCUUAGAAGCAGCCAUCAUUUAAAGA
RNAcentral lists this ribosomal RNA (1087 nucleotides) under Escherichia coli. RNAcentral describes it as "partial 23S ribosomal RNA". It matches the Rfam family "Bacterial large subunit ribosomal RNA", at positions 1 to 1129 of the family's 2925-position model. The record is from RNAcentral. Lineage: Bacteria; Pseudomonadati; Pseudomonadota; Gammaproteobacteria; Enterobacterales; Enterobacteriaceae.